RNAcentral lists this ribosomal RNA (433 nucleotides) under uncultured bacterium. RNAcentral's name for it is "partial 16S ribosomal RNA". It matches the Rfam family "Bacterial small subunit ribosomal RNA", at positions 29 to 507 of the family's 1533-position model. The record is from RNAcentral.
AACGAACGCUGGCGGCAUGCCUAACACAUGCAAGUCGAACGACACCUUCGGGACUGCUUGCGCACGCGUGCGUAACGCGUGGGAACCUGCCCGUAGGUUCGGAAUAACUCCUCGAAAGGGGUGCUAAUACCGGAUAAUGUCCGCUGACCAAAGAUGUGUCGACUUUGGAUGGGCCCGAGUUGUUUUAACUUGUUGGUAGUGUAAAAGCCUAUCAAGGCGACGAUCCAUAGCUGGUUUGAGAGGAUGAGCAGCGACACUGGGACUGAGAAACGGCCGAGAAUCCUGGGGGAAGCAGCAGUGGGGAAUAUUGGCAAACGGGGGGAGGCCUGAUGCAGCAAGGCCGCGAGAGUGAUGAAGGCGUUAGGGUUGUAAAGCUGUUUUACCCGGGACGAUAAUGACGGUACCGGGAGAAUAAGCUCCGGCUAACUCCGUG